RNAcentral lists this ribosomal RNA (385 nucleotides) under uncultured bacterium. Its description in RNAcentral is "bacterial SSU rRNA". It matches the Rfam family "Bacterial small subunit ribosomal RNA", at positions 28 to 415 of the family's 1533-position model. The record is from RNAcentral.
AUUGAACGCUGGCGGCAUGCUUUACACAUGCAAGUCGAACGGCAGCGGGGGCUUCGGUCCGCCGGCGAGUGGCGAACGGGUGAGUAAUGCAUCGGAACGUGCCCAGUCGUGGGGGAUAACACAUCGAAAGAUGUGCUAAUACCGCAUACGUCCUGAGGGAGAAAGCGGGGGAUCUUCGGACCUCGCGCGAUUGGAGCGGCCGAUGUCGGAUUAGCUAGUUGGUGGGGUAAAGGCCCACCAAGGCGACGAUCCGUAGCGGGUCUGAGAGGAUGAUCCGCCACACUGGGACUGAGACACGGCCCAGACUCCUACGGGAGGCAGCAGUGGGGAAUUUUGGACAAUGGGCGCAAGCCUGAUCCAGCCAUGCCGCGUGAGUGAAGAAGGC